UUUUGUAAACGCUCGUGAUGAGACCUCA
RNAcentral lists this ribosomal RNA (28 nucleotides) under Trigonella arabica. RNAcentral describes it as "partial 28S ribosomal RNA". Lineage: Eukaryota; Viridiplantae; Streptophyta; Magnoliopsida; Fabales; Fabaceae. The record is from RNAcentral. RNAcentral also lists the same sequence under 5 other names.